CCUACGGGAGGCAGCAGUGGGGAAUAUUGCACAAUGGGGGAAACCCUGAUGCAGCGACGCCGCGUGAGUGAAGAAGUAAUUCGUUAUGUAAAGCUCUAUCAGCAGGGAAGAAAAUGACGGUACCUUAGUAAGAAGCCCCGGCUAACUACGUUCCAGCAGCCGCGGUAAUACGUAGGGGGCAAGCGUUAUCCGGAUUUACUGGGGGUAAAGGGGGCGUAGACGGCAGUGCAAGGCUGGAGUGAAAGGCGGGGGCUCAACCCCCGGACUGCUUUGGAAACUGUGCGGCUAGAGUGCAGGAGAGGUAAGUGGAAUUCCUAGUGUAGCGGUGAAAUGCGUAGAUAUUAGGAGGAACACCAGUGGCGAAGGCGGCUUACUGGACAGUAACUGACGUUGAGGCUCGAAAGCGUGGGGAGCAAACAGGAUUAGAUACCCGAGUAGUC
RNAcentral lists this ribosomal RNA (440 nucleotides) under uncultured bacterium. Its description in RNAcentral is "partial 16S ribosomal RNA". It matches the Rfam family "Bacterial small subunit ribosomal RNA", at positions 338 to 795 of the family's 1533-position model. The record is from RNAcentral.